AUACGUAGGGGACGAGCGUUGUCCGGAAUUACUGGGCGUAAAGGGCGCGCAGGCGGAUAUUUAAGUCAGCUGUAAAAGGCAUGAGCUCAACUCAUGUAUGCGGUUGAAACUGGGUAUCUAGAGAGCUGGAGUGGUAGGCGGAAUUCCCGGUGUAGAGGUGACAUGCGUAGAUAUCGGGAAGAACACCAGUGGCGAAGGCGGCUUACUGGCCAGCAACUGACGCUGAGGCGCGAAAGCCAGGGGAGCGAACGGGAUUAGAUACCCCGGUAGUCCUGGCCGUAAACGAUGAAUGCUAGGUGUGGGUGUCGAGAGGCAUCCGUGCCGGAGUUAACGCGAUAAGCAUUCCGCCUGGGGAGUACGAUCGCAAGAUGGAAACUCAAAGGAAUUGGCGGGG
This 394-nucleotide ribosomal RNA is filed under the name uncultured bacterium. Its description in RNAcentral is "partial 16S ribosomal RNA". It matches the Rfam family "Bacterial small subunit ribosomal RNA", at positions 523 to 918 of the family's 1533-position model. The record is from RNAcentral.